UUUUUUAAUCACUUUUUUGCAAAAAUAAAAUAUUUACAUUGGCAAAAGGUGGCCGCACAGGACAUAGUCCCAAUUGAUUACAGCUACCAUUUAACUAUACAUACAUACAUAACAUGCCAUUAAUUAAAUACAACACUACAUUGUCAAUACUAUAUAAUUUCAGCUAAGUUAAAAGUCACUACUAUCUACCAAUCUCAAAGAGUAGAGUUCCUUUAAUGCAGUUUUAAAAGUACUUAUUCUUGCAAUAGUUUUUAAAGUAGGAGGUAGACUGUUCCAUGAGCGUAUAGCUCUAGGAAAAUAUGAAUAACCAAAAUAGUUUGUUCUAUACCUAAAUUCAGAAAAAUUAUCUUGAUGAGAAUUUCUUAAAUUAUAACCAGAUUGAGGCUUCAUCUGAACAUUCUCGGCAUAUUCCUCAAAGUCAAGACUAUAUAACCCAUUCUUGAGUUUAAAGAGAAAUAUUAAGUCCUUCAUUUGCCGACGAGACUCAAGUGGAAGGAGAUCGAGCAUAAUCAUUCUACUUUUGUAAUCAGUGUCCUUUGGAUAGUUUAGUAUAAAUUUGGUGGCUCUACGUUGGACAUUUUCAAUUAGUGCAAUGUAUUUUUUUUUCAUAGGGAGACCAUAAUUCACUUCCAUACUCUAAUAGUGGGCGAACUAAUGUACAGUAAAGUAACCUUCUGGUCUUUAAGUCCUUUAGAUCCACACAUGUUCUCUUCACUAGUCCAAGUGUCCUAUUUGCCUUUGAAGUUAUUUCGGAAAUAUGAGUAGCCCACUUUAGAUCACUGGUGACGUUGAUUCCAAGAUCUCGGAUGUAGGUUACUCUUUCUAGCCAGUUGUUAUCAAUGGUAUAAUCAGUUUCCAACCUGGGAGUUUUCUUUCUCGUAAUUCGCAUUGUUUUACAUUUUGUAACAUUGAAAUCCAUG
Paramuricea clavata is the source of this 920-nucleotide non-coding RNA. The record is from the annotation of a GenBank genome assembly. NCBI's taxonomy places the organism in Eukaryota, Metazoa, Cnidaria, Anthozoa, Malacalcyonacea, Plexauridae.